Molecule: signal recognition particle RNA, 291 nt
Filed under: Rhinopithecus roxellana (golden snub-nosed monkey)
Lineage: Eukaryota; Metazoa; Chordata; Mammalia; Primates; Cercopithecidae
Description: Metazoan signal recognition particle RNA (ENSRROG00000006492.1)
Rfam family: Metazoan signal recognition particle RNA (bases 72-239)
About the family: The signal recognition particle (SRP) is a universally conserved ribonucleoprotein. It is involved in the co-translational targeting of proteins to membranes.
Source: RNAcentral
GCCCCAGGAGGAAGUGUGUACUGUUAGCAGCAUAGGAUUGAGGGGUUGGAAGAGACCUUUAGAACAGCAGGUUGUUCUGCCAACUGGAUGUCUGCUCUAAGUUCGGUAUCAAUAUGGUGACCUCCUGGGAACAGGGGGCCACCAGGUUGCCUAAGGAUGAAUGAACUGGCCCAGAUCAGAAAGGGAGCAGGUCAGAACUCCCACACCAAAAGGUAGUGUGACUGUGCCUGAGCAAUACAGAAGAUCUUGGAUCUUACAGGAAAUAUAAAGAACAGCAGCUCAUUCCCCUCU